Molecule: ribosomal RNA, 327 nt
Filed under: uncultured eukaryote
Lineage: Eukaryota
Description: partial 18S ribosomal RNA
Rfam family: Eukaryotic small subunit ribosomal RNA
Source: RNAcentral
CCCCUAGAUGUUCUGGGCCGCACGCGCGCUACACUGAACAGUUCAACAAGUCUUAACCUUGGCCGAUAGGUCUGGGUAAUCUUUGAACGCUGUUCGUGAUUGGGAUAGACCUUUGCGAUUAUGGGUCUUCAACGAGGAAUUCCUAGUAAACGCAAGUCAUCAGCUUGCAUUGAUUACGUCCCUGCCCUUUGUACACACCGCCCGUCGCACCUACCGAUUGAAUGGUCCGGUGAAGCGUUCGGACCGUGGCCUUUGGACGGUUCGCCGUCUGUUGGCUGCGGGAAGUUCGUUAAACCUUAUCAUUUAGAGGAAGGAGAAGUCGUAACA